GAUGAACGCUGGCGGCGUGCCUAAUACAUGCAAGUCGAGCGAACGGACGAGAAGCUUGCUUCUCUGAUGUUAGCGGCGGACGGGUGAGUAACACGUGGAUAACCUACCUAUAAGACUGGGAUAACUUCGGGAAACCGGAGCUAAUACCGGAUAAUAUUUUGAACCGCAUGGUUCAAAAGUGAAAGACGGUCUUGCUGUCACUUAUAGAUGGAUCCGCGCUGCAUUAGCUAGUUGGUAAGGUAACGGCUUACCAAGGCAACGAUGCAUAGCCGACCUGAGAGGGUGAUCGGCCACACUGGAACUGAGACACGGUCCAGACUCCUACGGGAGGCAGCAGUAGGGAAUCUUCCGCAAUGGGCGAAAGCCUGACGGAGCAACGCCGCGUGAGUGAUGAAGGUCUUCGGAUCGUAAAACUCUGUUAUUAGGGAAGAACAUAUGUGUAAGUAACUGUGCACAUCUUGACGGUACCUAAUCAGAAAGCCACGGCUAACUACGUGCCAGCAGCCGCGGUAAUACGUAGGUGGCAAGCGUUAUCCGGAAUUAUUGGGCGUAAAGCGCGCGUAGGCGGUCUUUUAAGUCUGAUGUGAAAGCCCACGGCUCAACCGUGGAGGGUCAUUGGAAACUGGAAAACUUGAGUGCAGAAGAGGAAAGUGGAAUUCCAUGUGUAGCGGUGAAAUGCGCAGAGAUAUGGAGGAACACCAGUGGCGAAGGCGACUUUCUGGUCUGUAACUGACGCUGAUGUGCGAAAGCGUGGGGAUCAAACAGGAUUAGAUACCCUGGUAGUCCACGCCGUAAACGAUGAGUGCUAAGUGUUAGGGGGUUUCCGCCCCUUAGUGCUGCAGCUAACGCAUUAAGCACUCCGCCUGGGGAGUACGACCGCAAGGUUGAAACUCAAAGGAAUUGACGGGGACCCGCACAAGCGGUGGAGCAUGUGGUUUAAUUCGAAGCAACGCGAAGAACCUUACCAAAUCUUGACAUCCUUUGACAACUCUAGAGAUAGAGCCUUCCCCUUCGGGGGACAAAGUGACAGGUGGUGCAUGGUUGUCGUCAGCUCGUGUCGUGAGAUGUUGGGUUAAGUCCCGCAACGAGCGCAACCCUUAAGCUUAGUUGCCAUCAUUAAGUUGGGCACUCUAAGUUGACUGCCGGUGACAAACCGGAGGAAGGUGGGGAUGACGUCAAAUCAUCAUGCCCCUUAUGAUUUGGGCUACACACGUGCUACAAUGGACAAUACAAAGGGCAGCGAAACCGCGAGGUCAAGCAAAUCCCAUAAAGUUGUUCUCAGUUCGGAUUGCAGUCUGCAACUCGACUACAUGAAGCUGGAAUCGCUAGUAAUCGUAGAUCAGCAUGCUACGGUGAAUACGUUCCCGGGUCU
RNAcentral lists this ribosomal RNA (1372 nucleotides) under uncultured bacterium. RNAcentral's name for it is "bacterial SSU rRNA". It matches the Rfam family "Bacterial small subunit ribosomal RNA", at positions 28 to 1381 of the family's 1533-position model. The record is from RNAcentral.